CGGUUUAAAAGACACAGCCACAUCCGAUUUUAUAAAGUCUACCACUUCAAUCAAAACCAUUUAGCUAGUUAAGUUUAAUCGGCAAUAGUUUAUUUAAAUGUUGGCAAUAAACAGUAUCUACGCAGAUUGCCUAAACUUGGAAACAAAGACAAAAACCGGAAGUUACCUGUUCAAGCGUACCACCAUUUCUUAAUUGGCAGAAAUGGGCUCGCCACGCCCAUAUUUUUAUUUCGAAAAUUAUUUUCCACAUAAAGGAGGCAAACACAAAAAAAAUUCUCUAGAUCAGGUUAUGAGUUAUGAGUCAGUGUUGAGUAGACGUAAUUAAUUCAAGCUUAGUCUCUUAAAAACACCUGAAAAUCACCUGCCCUAUCAAUAACGCUUAACAAACUUUUUCCCAAGAUCAUUUCCAAGGUAUAAGCAAUCAGCAAAAUAAACCCCUAGAAACAGUACCAGAGCAGCUUGGCCCGAAGGAUCAAUGAUGAGGAAUACAUAUGAAACAUGUAUGGGUUCUUCUGUAAUGCAGACGACACUGCACUGAGAAAUAAAUAGAUCUUACUCGUUGCAAAUACCUUUGUGUUUGUUUGAAUGGAAGCUUUACCAAAAGAAGUCGAUGGAUUAUUUAUUACACCACCUUCUUACCUGAUCUGGAUACAAACAGAAAUGCACCCACACAAUGUCUUUUCUUGUCAUUGUGAUACUAGUCUGCAUGAACCUACAGCAGUACAAGAGCAACAGUCAGUUUGGUUUAACUUGUGUAGCAAAUGAAUGUAAUUGUGCUCAAUCAUGUCUAUGUAUGUUUAAUGAAGGUAUUUUUCUUUCUUUUUCCUGUAUGUUGUGUCUUUCCUUAGCCUGUAUAGUAUUUCAUGAAAAAAAACAAUAGCAAAAGCAGAAAUGUACCAUAAGUUGAGUUUAUUUAGGCUGAUCCUUUUUUACAGCCACCAGGUUCCAGUGGUUAUAUAAAAGACUGACACUGACAGCUUGGCAACAAUCCUGUCCAUCGUCCUGACUGACAGUUGGAAGCUGAGCCUGCAUUUCAUGACCCCAUUAAGCUGAUCUGUGUCAGCAUGGCUUCAAAAGAUGUAGAAAUACUUUCUGCCUUUGUGAGCCUUACCUAUCCUGUCUGUUACUGUGUACUCCAUUUAAAGUGGGCCUCAUUUAACACGUGCAAAUAACAUAUUAUUCACCUGGAUGUUAAGGAUGUAUUAUUUUGUCAUUUGUUUCGUUUUGAUGCUUUAUCUCACUGAAGUCCUUUGUGCUAUUGUAAACCACUAUAUAUUCUCUGUCACACAAUGUCUGUGGUGUGAGGAAUAAAAACAGAAUCUUCA
Betta splendens (Siamese fighting fish) is the source of this 1325-nucleotide long non-coding RNA. RefSeq lists it as uncharacterized. NCBI's taxonomy places the organism in Eukaryota, Metazoa, Chordata, Actinopteri, Anabantiformes, Osphronemidae. The transcript has 2 exons. The record is from RefSeq and is a predicted model, not a curated record.